UGACAUUAAAAGGGACACAAAUUCCCCAACAGUCUUCAGGAUAAGGUCAUAGACCUCCCAGUUUUUUCACCUCCACAAGAGCUACACUGAGAUCCUCGUGAAUGUCACUGCUCCAAGUUAGAGGUGGUUGGUUUUGCCUUUUCCUCUUAUAGGAUGCUGUCCUUCUGGUGGUUAUGCAUGGUGGUGUCAGGUCUUCAAUCCACAUCUAUUGGCUGACUGGACACUUCGGUCGUUGGUAACCAGGCUCACCAGUCUGAAAUUCACCUGGCAUAACUCUGCUCAGUGGAAUGAAGUUAGUGGAGGGUACUUGCCACAGUGACAGAGAGCUGGUAUACUGGUCAUUGGAUUGGUUCUUCUGUAAGCUGUCUUCUGUGUUCUGCAACAACUAUUGUCUAAUGUAUUGCUUUGUGCAAUUUUGCAAAAGUUCUCCACAUCUACUAAAUAUUAACACCUA
This 454-nucleotide long non-coding RNA is filed under the name Fukomys damarensis (Damara mole-rat). RNAcentral describes it as "lncRNA (ENSFDAG00000026416.1)". Lineage: Eukaryota; Metazoa; Chordata; Mammalia; Rodentia; Bathyergidae. The record is from RNAcentral.